UUAAUGUGUAUGGUUUUCUCACUCUUUUUCAUGAUAAAUUGUGUUUUAAUAUAGGUUAUUGCAUUAAAGUCACAAUUGGAUGAACAAAAUAAAAGAUAUGAAGAACGUGAAAAAAGAUAUGAAGAACAUGAAAAAAGAUUUGAGAUAAUGAUGAAUUUUUUCUUUCAAAGUUAUCAAGGUCAAUUGCCUCCUGAGUUGACUAUGUUCAAUCGUUCAUCGGUAAUGUUUAAAAAAUUCAAAUAACUUGUUUUUAUUUUUCAGAUUUACAUUUCUAAUUGUGAUAUAUGUUUAUAUUGUAGGUGUCUGAUCAAGGAAGUGUGCCAAAAAAUUAGGAAGGCAAAACCAAAACCAUAAUAAUAAUGCACCAAACACACUCAUUCAACAAAUAAAGAAUUCAUGUGGGAUUAGAACGUGAUCAAAACCGAUCCUGCAGUCAUAUACUGGUUUUAUCUUGUUCAUUAAUGAGUUUAAACUGGUAUUAAUGAGUUUAAAUUUUGUGGAAAAAAUGAAAAUUUUGUUGGAUUACUUCUUAUUUUGCUUUAA
This 543-nucleotide long non-coding RNA is filed under the name Phaseolus vulgaris (common bean). RNAcentral describes it as "long non-coding RNA (PVUL_LNC003935)". Lineage: Eukaryota; Viridiplantae; Streptophyta; Magnoliopsida; Fabales; Fabaceae. The record is from RNAcentral.